AUGAUACUUUUUUUGACCGUUUGAAGCUGUUGUAAAGAACGAGACUGACUGAAGCUUUGCCUCAUAAGCUUGUAGGACCGAGAAUUGGAAGGAAGAAGGAAGCUGGUGUUGGUGGUGAAGUUUAGGGAGUUGAGAAGAGGGCUGGCAAGCCUAGGAGGAAGCUGAAAGGAAGAUCCUUUGUUUGCAAGUUAGGGGUUUGUAAAGUGGUGGAUGUGUUGGUGGCGGAGCCAAAUUUAGUUGAGGCAAUUGGCCAGGAAUGUAACAAAGUUUUGAGAUGUGGUGGUGGUAGUGGUGUGGAUGAGGUUGUUGAUUUCACGGAAAUGCUUUCUGGGUUUUGUUUAUAUAUUGAAGAUAGAGUGGAUUGUGGAACCAAGCUGUAUCACCAAAAGUAAUCCAGAUGCCGCCAUUAGGUAUUCUCCGACGCAAGAAUGUGGCAGAUGGCAUUGGGAAUGAAAGAGAGAAUGCUUGAAGCUGGUGUUACUGCAAAUACUUUUACAUGGUCAUCAUGACAUCAUUAAUAAAUGCAUGGUGAAAGCAGGUCUGGUGGAUCAAGCAUAUGUAUUAUUUGAAGAGAUGUUUUUGGCUGGUUACAUGCCAAAUGCACAGUGUUGCAAUAUUCUCCUUUAUGCUGUGUUAAGACUUUCCGUCUAAUUCAGUCCUGGAAAGGCAAUAGACAAAAUUUGAUACAAGAAAGCUCGCUAGCUCCUAUGAAAGUGCCUUUCAAACCUACGAUUUCGACAUAUAAUGUAGUUGGUACUCACGAAGGCUUGUGGCAUUGAUUAAUUCUUUUGCACAAUCGUUAAUGGAUGAAAUGGAGACAGUUGGCCUUAGCCCUAAUCAUAUAACUGGUCAACUUUGAUUGGUGUUUAUGGAGGCUCCGGGGAUGUAAAGAAUGCUCUACAUGUAAGAGCCAUAGUGAGGUUGAAGCACAAAUUGUCGUCCUUGCAGUUUAACGGAUGAUAAAGAGAACUACCGUCUAGGAGAGUUGAUAAGUGAUGACAUGUUUAUAAUCUUGGGUGUCCAAGAAGUUGGUGCAGCUGCAGAUAAAAGUCAAUUUGCUGUAAAAGAGACUAUAAUUAAACUUCUACAUGAUACCCUAGGCCUCAAGGUUUUCUCAUUAGGACCUAAAAAGAAUGAGAUCACCACCAGCAUCACCCACUAGAAGGCCAGUGGUUUUGCAGAGGGUGAAGGUGACAAGAAAGUCCGUGUACCAAUGGUAACAGAGGAAGUCAGUAAAUAGAAGGCAAGUAUUUAAUACUUUUGUACCAACAAUUGACAUUUUGUAGAUAGGUUUUCGCAUUUUCUUUCAACAUUGAUGAUAUUGCAAUAAGUUGUAGGCUUGUAGCACUACUCUAUCAUUCACUCUAAUGAAUAUAAAUAAAAAUCACUUCUAUAUUUUUAUCAA
Molecule: long non-coding RNA, 1405 nt
Organism: Erigeron canadensis
Lineage: Eukaryota; Viridiplantae; Streptophyta; Magnoliopsida; Asterales; Asteraceae
Exons: 5
Source: RefSeq, a predicted model, not a curated record